GGGGUUGUGGCUCUGUGGUAGAGCACUCUCCUAGCACAUGUGAGGCCCUGGGUUUGAUCCUCAGCACCACA
This 71-nucleotide transfer RNA is filed under the name Marmota monax (woodchuck). Its description in RNAcentral is "tRNA.Ala". The record is from RNAcentral. Lineage: Eukaryota; Metazoa; Chordata; Mammalia; Rodentia; Sciuridae.